AUACGGAGGAUCCGAGCGUUAUCCGGAUUUAUUGGGUUUAAAGGGUGCGCAGGCGGCCAUUUAAGUCAGCGGUUAAAUCGUGGGGCUCAACCCCAUUCUGCCGUUGAUACUGGGUGGCUUGAUUGCGGUCGAGGUUGGCGGAAUUCGUUGUGUAGCGGUGAAAUGCAUAGAGAUGACGAAGAACACCGAUUACGUAGGCAGCUGGCCAGACCGCAGAUGACCCGCAGGCACUAAAGUGCGGGAAUCGAACAGGAUUAGAUGCCCUGGUAGUCCGCACAGUAAACGAUGAAUACUUGUUUUCGGCGAUAUAAUGUCGGAGGCAAAGCUAAAGCGAUAAGUAUUCCACCUGGGGAGUACGCCUGCAACGGUGAAACUCAAAGGAAUUGGCGGGG
RNAcentral lists this ribosomal RNA (392 nucleotides) under uncultured bacterium. RNAcentral's name for it is "partial 16S ribosomal RNA". It matches the Rfam family "Bacterial small subunit ribosomal RNA", at positions 523 to 918 of the family's 1533-position model. The record is from RNAcentral.